UCCGUUACGUUGGUGACGUCACCACGAGCGCGAGAAGUCGAAGGUAGGAGCAGAAAGCGGUGUUAGUGUUAGUUCUGGCCCGUUUGGACCCAAACUAAAGUGUAUCAGUAUGAAGCAGGCGGUGACGGCGCACUGAUUCACUCUCGGAGCUCGGUUCACUAAUGACCGAAUCACCGAGGAACCGACCAAAGAUAACUCACACCCGCACGGAGAAGAAGAACAAGAGGAGGAGAAGAUGAGCUGGAGUAGGGCAAAGAGAACUGCAUUCAGAUCAAAAGGAUACAAGAGGUGGCCGAGUUGUUUGAGGAUCUAAAGAAUUGAGUGUCACAAUUCAACAUGCACAUCAGCGAAACUUUUCCCUCUGACUACACCAGCACGCACGCACAGAAAUUCAUAGUGCAGGUGGCGAUUGCAGGCGCAUUUUAUCCGAACUGCUUCCUCCAGGGAACUCUAUGGAAACGACCCCAGGACCACCAUAGUGGUGUGUAAUCUCCCUCCAUUUGCAUUCCUCUACUAUAAACAGCUCCAGUCUCUCUUCAGACACUGUGGUUAAAUCAAAUCCAUCUCCUUUGACAGCUCCAGGGCCUAUGUAGAGUUCUACCGCUCGUCAAUGAGAGGUUCUGGCGUUCUCCCAGAGGUCUCUCUGUCUCUCCUCCUCACGCAGCAGAGACUUCCUCUCCAUCUCAACGUUUAACCCGCUGGAGAGGUGGAGACUUGGGCAGGGGGGUAGUGUAUCUCACACCUCAGAUAUACACGGGUGAAUGUGGAUUUUCAGAAUCGGUCAGUGAGCCCUGUCGGGGUUCUGAGCAGCUCCAUUGAGUUGGAGAAUCUUCCGUCUAACCCUGUCUUUAUCGUCAAUAUCACCGAGGUGUCUGUUCCGCCUCUUUCACUUUCAGUGCACAAAUAAAAAAGAAGCAGUGGCUCCUGUGUGUGUGUGUGUGUGUGUGUGUGUGUGUGUGUGUGUGUGUGUGUGCACUAACAGGAGGUCCAGGUGCAGCCUUUGGAUAUUGAUGAAGAUUUACUGCCCCUGCAAGACCUUCCUCAACUGCGUAGUCUGGAGCAAAGGAUGCAACAGAGCCCAGAUUACAAGCAAAAUCUGGUAAACUGGUUGGCGCUUAUUGACGGGGUGUAUGUGCGUGACUGCACCUGGCGCAUAUUGAAGAGGGUGAUUGCUAACUCCCUGGCAAAGAAUCUCAAUUGGAGGGGAGUCAAUGGAAAGACUUCACUGUCCGCUCUCCAACUCGGAGAGGUCGUGAUUGCUGCAGUUCAUAGAAACCUCCUCACGGCUAAAGCUGCAGAGAUGGAGGUCGAGGGGACCAUGAAGAGGCGGCUCCAGCUGGCAUCAGAUCGAGAGUGUGGGCGCAAGAGCAGACUUUUGAUAAAGGAGGGGCCUAAACAUGGCUGAAAACUCACAAAACUCGGUAGACGCGCCAGCACCAGUGAAAAUGUAACUUACAUUGGGCAUGGUCGAGGAGCUCCUUAGCACCCCUGAAUGCAGACAAAGUUAGAUUCAGCUUCGGACACAAGUUCCAGGUACUGAUCGAGAAGGAGUGGAUCAGCUUCGGACACAAGCUGACCUCGCGUGUCGGCCUUGGAGAUGAGAAUCACGCCAACUCGGAACGAUCCCCUCUCUUUGUGCAGUUCAUCGACUGUGUGUGGCAGAUGAUGAGACAGGUGAAACCCAGGGCUCAAACCAAGAGAAGACAUUCAGAGCUAUUCAUUCUUUAAAGUCCAUUUAACGAGUUUCCUUCUGCUUCUGAGUUCAAAGAGCUUUUUCUCAUCCCCAUCCUGGAUCGCCCCUACAGCUGCCUGUUUGGUACAUUCCUCUACAGCAGUGAGCAGGAGAGAAUGGAAAAGGAAGUACAGGGUAAAACGGUCACUGUGGUCCUACGUUAACAGUCAGCCGGAGGACUUCACUAACCCGUUCUAUGUGGACUGUAAAAACCAGGUGCUGUAUCCACUGGCCAGUCUCACACAUCUGGAGCUCUGGGUGGGUUAUUAUGUGCGCUGGAACCCACGCAUGAGACCUCAGAAAACUACAUGAACGUACAGGUGUUCCUAAUAAAGUGGACGGUGAGUGAACAUGACGUGGCUGAAACGAUUUCCAAAACACUUCAGGAGCAGCUAGCGAUAAAGAUUAAGAUGCCGCUCCAUCAGAAUCUGAGAGAGUUAUUGUUUUUGCGUGAAGAACGUGGAGGAGCUCCAGAGAGAGGCCACGUCAUCCUGCUCCAUCUCCUCAUCCUCAGAGCAUACUUCUCCCUCCUCACAUAGUGAAAAAGUUUUGCAGUUCCUAUCCAAAAGACACCAAGAGCCCAGAUGUCCUUAGAAACUAAAUGUACCCUCCAACUCGUGGCCUUUUCAGAAACUCGAUUCCCAGACGUCACCACACUGAUCACAGUGCAUCCUUCAAAUCCACCGUGCAGCGGAAAUGGACCAGUCGAUUUAAACGGAUUGUUGAAAAUGUACGUUGUUCAAGGCAUUUGUGAAUUUGAAAUUUCGCUACAAACCGAGUCUGAACAGUCGCCAGAAUCUGAGGCAAAAACACACGAAGGAACGAGAUCACGUCAUCAUUGCCUCGUCUCUGGUGUUCUACAUUUUUGACAAAAGUAACACCAGAGAUGCUGCGUUAAAAUGGUCAAGAAAAUUACACCAGAGUAAAAAAAUCCCAUUGGGUGAGAUUAUAAACAUCGACUGAAACUCUCGAUAGGACGUGACACUGUUGGAGAGUUGCAUACGAGCGGACAUUAAACAAUAUUUAGUAGAAGCCUUGUGGAUGUUUUUGUCUGUGUUCGUCUGUAAUAUACUGGACUGUCCUACCAAGAGUUCGACCACAUACACAUUCAACUGAAGCUCAUACAGUCAGCAUACUGAACUCUCCUUUUUGCCAUAGUGCGGCCGCUUAACAGGAUAAGGCCUCAGAAGUCAAGCACCAGCAGCUUGUGGCUAAAAAGCUGCAGCAGAAUUGAGCUCGGCUAGGAGGUGACUGGUGACGGAAAAAGCCGGGGAACCUCGGAAAGGAAAACAGGGCUGUGUUCCAAAUCUUUUAUCGCCUCCUCUUCAAACUCCAAAAACCUCUGGGCCCUACAGCUAAAUCCAGAGCUGAGGAAAACAACCGUUCAACUAAGAAGGCCUUCUCAAACACAAUGUUUGAGCGAAGGGAGGAAAUGAUCAAACACGGAUCAAUUGGAACACAGCCCAUACAGCAAAACCGUAAAAGGUGCCAUAGAGUGUAAAUGAUUCAAAAAGACCCAAAUCUAAGCCCAAACACUUCAUAUGACCAUUGAUAUGACUGCUAACGAAAUCUAUUGUACUGUAGCUACACUGCUACAAGUGUAUAUAAAGAUACACCGAUACAACCAGUUGAACAUGAAUAACACGCAAAGCACAUUUCACAAAUCACAAAUUCCCUAAUAAAGGAAAAAGACGUUUGUGCUAACAUGUAAGACUCGAGUUUCUACAUCUUCCAAACAAGUACACUUGAGCGUCUUCAUUACUGUAAGCUCGGCUCUGAAAAUCUGCUACCACUGUUGUACCAGUAAACACACGCACACAGAGCAAGUUAGCAAAGAUCGGUCAACAAGGUUUCUUCAACACAACCACCUUUUGAUACACGUACGCUCACUUCAUAUUGACAGUCCCUUUUUAAAAGUGAAUUAAACCAUGAGCAGCUAUCUUCUCAAAAGUCCGGUCAAUUUCAGAGCACAAAAAAACUGCCUAUAUACACAACAAUUCAGUCCCACGUCUCUGAAAGAAAUGCAGAGCACAAAUGUACAAAUCACUGUGAUUUCUAUUUUUCUUACAUGUGAAAAGGAUGCUUGUAAAAAGAUGAUAAAUCUUCACUGGGAAUUACUUUAAGGUCAUCAACAAUUAAUUUAUGAAUCAGGGGAGCCUGGCUCUGGUCCUGAAUUCCUGUGAUCAUGCACAGUGUGAUGAUUUCUCAUCUAACACUCCUACCUAAUGACCCGAGGACUUAAAUCGGGUGUGAUUCAGGAAAAUUCCCAAACUGUACUGGACUGUAGUCUUACAGGACCACAGUAAGGCUUCCCUGCUCUAAAGCGUUUCCUACAGAAAUAUUUAUUUGAACAUGAUGUGGAUAAUCUAAUCACAGACUCUGGAUUAACGGUGCACACAGCGAUGCUUUCACACAAAAGUGUGAUGGACACUAAAAAGCUGGAGCAGCACUAAUGCAUGAAUAGUUUGUCUCAGAGUUUGUACUUUCAGUUAGAAACACAUUAAACCUCUACAAUAUUAUUCAUAUGAAGUUGGAAACUGUGCAAACAGUCGUAUUAGUGAGAAUGAGGACAAACAGUUAAAUAUUCACAGAAAGUUUGACUUAGUCACAAAGCAGAUGUCCCUCCCCCACCCCCCACUGAGAGCAUGUAUGCGUUGAGCAGUGCUCCCUCUUCAGGCUGGGAGAUGUAUCACAGGUUACACCACGUUGUCUUCUGUGGGCGGCUCAGCAUUAGGGGGCUGGAGGAGAGUUUGUUGAACAGUAAAAUGACAUUUUCACUUAG
Ictalurus punctatus (channel catfish) is the source of this 4514-nucleotide long non-coding RNA. RefSeq lists it as uncharacterized. The transcript has 19 exons. The record is from RefSeq and is a predicted model, not a curated record. Lineage: Eukaryota; Metazoa; Chordata; Actinopteri; Siluriformes; Ictaluridae.